GACUAGUGGAUUGUUUUAUAUAAAAAAAGAAUUUUAAUUUUUAAUGUAUUAAAGUAAUAAGAAAAAUUGAAAUAAUUUUUAUUAUUGAUAGUUUAUUAUUACAGUAAUGUAAUUUUUAUUAUAGUUAUAUAUUUAAAAGUAAAGUUUAAAUUUUGUAUCUUGUGUAUCAGAGUUAAAUAAAAUGUAAAAUUUAAUUUAUAUUUUCGAAUGAAAAUGAUUUAAUUAAUUAUUAAAUUUAUUGUUGAAUAAAUAUUUUAAAUAGUUAAUUGGUAAUGAAAAGUUAUUCGUAUUUUCAGAUAUCUAAUUUUUUAAUAGUUGAAUUCAAUUCAGCUUAUGUUAAUUUUAUUUUAUAUUAAAUUAAAUUUAAUAUAAAAGGUUUAAACAUUAGUAAAAUUUUUUGGGAUAAGCUGAAAAAUUAAGUUAAAUUCUUAUAGUUAAUAAAUUUUAGGAAAUUAAUAAAGUUUGAAUUUCUUAUUUAAUUUAAUUUUUUAAUAAAUAUUUUUUUUUAUUAUUUAAUUUUAAAUUUUGGUGAUUAAUAGAUUUAUUAAAAUUUAUAUUUGAAUUUAUUAUUUAUAUUAAUAAUGUUUAAAUUAGUAUACUAUAGAAAAAAUUAAUGGAAUUUUUGAUUAUAAUUAUAUAUUGUUUUAUAAUUUAAUUUAAUUAAUUAGGCAAAUUUAUAAAUUUAACUGUUUACCAAAAACAUUUCUUUUUGAUUUAUUAAUUUAAAGUAAAAUCUGCCCACUGAAAUUUAAUUGAAGGGCCGCAGAAAUUUAACUGUGCUAAGGUAGCAUAAUAAUUUGUCUUUUAAUUGAAGACUAGAAUGAAUGAUUUAAUAAAAUUAAUACUUUUUAAAAUUAAUAUGUAUAAUUUAAUUUUCUAGUUAAAAAGCUGGAAUAUUUUAAAAAGACGAGAAGACCCUAUAGAUUUUUAUAAUUAAUUUUAUGAAUAUAUGUAUUUAGAGUAUUAAAUAAAAUUAAUUAUUUAGUUGGGGUGACUAUAAAAUUUAAUAAACUUUUAUUAUUGAAACAUUAAUUGAUGAAUAUUAAUAUUGAAUUAAAUUUAUUAUUUUUAGAAUUUAAUUACCUUAGGGAUAACAGCAUUAUUAUUAUUAUAAGUUCUUAUUGUAAUAAUAGAUUGUGACCUCGAUGUUGGAUUAAAAUAAAUAUUAAUUGAAGAUGAUUAAUUAUUAAGUCUGUUCGACUUUUAAAAUUUUACAUGAUCUGAGUUCAAACCGGUGUGAGCCAGGUUGGUUUCUAUCUUUUAAUAAAAAUAAAUUAUUUUAGUACGAAAGGAUUUUUUAAUUGAAUUUAAUUUUAAUUUAUGAAUUUUAUUAAUUUUACAAUUUAAAGUAUUUAUUUACAAAAAUUU
This 1368-nucleotide ribosomal RNA is filed under the name Neucentropus mandjuricus. Its description in RNAcentral is "16S ribosomal RNA". Lineage: Eukaryota; Metazoa; Arthropoda; Insecta; Trichoptera; Polycentropodidae. The record is from RNAcentral.